UCAUUGGAAACUGGGAAACUUGAGUGCAGAAGAGGAGAGUGGAAUUCCACGUGUAGCGGUGAAAUGCGUAGAGAUGUGGAGGAACACCAGUGGCGAAGGCGACUCUCUGGUCUGUAACUGACGCUGAGGAGCGAAAGCGUGGGGAGCGAACAGGAUUAGAUACCCUGGUAGUCCACGCCGUAAACGAUGAGUGCUAAGUGUUAGGGGGUUUCCGCCCCUUAGUGCUGCAGCUAACGCAUUAAGCACUCCGCCUGGGGAGUACGGUCGCAAGACUGAAACUCAAAGGAAUUGACGGGGGCCCGCACAAGCGGUGGAGCAUGUGGUUUAAUUCGAAGCAACGCGAAGAACCUUACCAGGUCUUGACAUCCUCUGACAACCCUAGAGAUAGGGCUUUCCCUUCGGGGACAGAGUGACAGGUGGUGCAUGGUUGUCGUCAGCUCGUGUCGUGAGAUGUUGGGUUAAGUCCCGCAACGAGCGCAACCCUUGAUCUUAGUUGCCAGCAUUCAGUUGGGCACUCUAAGGUGACUGCCGGUGACAAACCGGAGGAAGGUGGGGAUGACGUCAAAUCAUCAUGCCCCUUAUGACCUGGGCUACACACGUGCUACAAUGGACAGAACAAAGGGCUGCGAGACCGCAAGGUUUAGCCAAUCCCACAAAUCUGUUCUCAGUUCGGAUCGCAGUCUGCAACUCGACUGCGUGAAGCUGGAAUCGCUAGUAAUCGCGGAUCAGCAUGCCGCGGUGAAUACGUUCCC
Molecule: ribosomal RNA, 752 nt
Filed under: Bacillus stratosphericus
Lineage: Bacteria; Bacillati; Bacillota; Bacilli; Caryophanales; Bacillaceae
Description: bacterial SSU rRNA
Rfam family: Bacterial small subunit ribosomal RNA
Source: RNAcentral